This 73-nucleotide transfer RNA is filed under the name Mus musculus (house mouse). It matches the Rfam family "tRNA". From Rfam's summary of the family: Transfer RNA (tRNA) molecules are approximately 80 nucleotides in length. Their secondary structure includes four short double-helical elements and three loops (D, anti-codon, and T loops). Further hydrogen bonds mediate the characteristic L-shaped molecular structure. tRNAs have two regions of fundamental functional importance: the anti-codon, which is responsible for specific mRNA codon recognition, and the 3' end, to which the tRNAs corresponding amino acid is attached (by aminoacyl-tRNA synthetases). tRNAs cope with the degeneracy of the genetic code in two manners: having more than one tRNA (with a specific anti-codon) for a particular amino acid; and 'wobble' base-pairing, i.e. permitting non-standard base-pairing at the 3rd anti-codon position. Lineage: Eukaryota; Metazoa; Chordata; Mammalia; Rodentia; Muridae. The record is from Rfam by way of RNAcentral.
GGAGAUGUAGCUCAGUGAGCAGAGUGCUUGUCUGGUAGGCACAAAACACAAGAUCUAUGCACGGCCAUCUCCA